This 334-nucleotide ribosomal RNA is filed under the name uncultured eukaryote. RNAcentral describes it as "partial 18S ribosomal RNA". It matches the Rfam family "Eukaryotic small subunit ribosomal RNA", at positions 1470 to 1796 of the family's 1831-position model. The record is from RNAcentral.
CCCUUAGAUGUCCGGGGCUGCACGCGCGCCACACUGAGUGGAUCAGCGUGUGUUUACCCUUCGCCGACAGGCGUGGGUAACCCGCUGAACCCCACUCGUGAUAGGGAUCGGGGAUUGCAAUUAUUUCCCAUGAACGAGGAAUUCCCAGUAAGCGCGGGUCAUAAGCUCGCGUUGAUUAAGUCCCUGCCCUUUGUACACACCGCCCGUCGCUACUACCGAUUGGAUGGUUUAGUGAGGUCCUCGGAUCGGCCCUGCAGGGGUUGGUCACGGCCCCUGGAGGAGCGCCGAGAAGACGAUCCAACUUGACUAUCUAGAGGAAGUAAAAGUCGUAACA